GAGUUUGAUCCUGGCUCAGAUUGAACGCUGGCGGCAGGCCUAACACAUGCAAGUCGAGCGGUAACAGGGGUAGCUUGCUACCCGCUGACGAGCGGCGGACGGGUGAGUAAUGCAUAGGAAUCUGCCCGAUAGUGGGGGAUAACCUGGGGAAACCCAGGCUAAUACCGCAUACGUCCUACGGGAGAAAGGGGGCUNCGGCUCCCGCUAUUGGAUGAGCCUAUGUCGGAUUAGCUAGUUGGUAAGGUAAUGGCUUACCAAGGCAACGAUCCGUAGCUGGUCUGAGAGGAUGAUCAGCCACAUCGGGACUGAGACACGGCCCGAACUCCUACGGGAGGCAGCAGUGGGGAAUAUUGGACAAUGGGGGCAACCCUGAUCCAGCCAUGCCGCGUGUGUGAAGAAGGCCCUCGGGUUGUAAAGCACUUUCAGCGAGGAAGAACGCCUAUCGGUUAAUACCCGGUAGGAAAGACAUCACUCGCAGAAGAAGCACCGGCUAACUCCGUGCCAGCAGCCGCGGUAAUACGGAGGGUGCAAGCGUUAAUCGGAAUUACUGGGCGUAAAGCGCGCGUAGGUGGCUUGAUAAGCCGGUUGUGAAAGCCCCGGGCUCAACCUGGGAACGGCAUCCGGAACUGUCAGGCUAGAGUGCAGGAGAGGAAGGUAGAAUUCCCGGUGUAGCGGUGAAAUGCGUAGAGAUCGGGAGGAAUACCAGUGGCGAAGGCGGCCUUCUGGACUGACACUGACACUGAGGUGCGAAAGCGUGGGUAGCAAACAGGAUUAGAUACCCUGGUAGUCCACGCCGUAAACGAUGUCGACCAGCCGUUGGGUGCCUAGAGCACUUUGUGGCGAAGUUAACGCGAUAAGUCGACCGCCUGGGGAGUACGGCCGCAAGGUUAAAACUCAAAUGAAUUGACGGGGGCCCGCACAAGCGGUGGAGCAUGUGGUUUAAUUCGAUGCAACGCGAAGAACCUUACCUACCCUUGACAUCUACAGAAGCCGGAAGAGAUUCUGGUGUGCCUUCGGGAACUGUAAGACAGGUGCUGCAUGGCUGUCGUCAGCUCGUGUUGUGAAAUGUUGGGUUAAGUCCCGUANCGAGCGCAACCCUUGUCCUUAUUUGCCAGCGAGUAAUGUCGGGA
Molecule: ribosomal RNA, 1130 nt
Filed under: Halomonas sp. BB85
Lineage: Bacteria; Pseudomonadati; Pseudomonadota; Gammaproteobacteria; Oceanospirillales; Halomonadaceae
Description: bacterial SSU rRNA
Rfam family: Bacterial small subunit ribosomal RNA
Source: RNAcentral